UGGGGAAUAUUGGACAAUGGGGGCAACCCUGAUCCAGCAAUGCCGCGUGUGUGAAGAAGGCCUGAGGGUUGUAAAGCACUUUCAGUGGGGAGGAGGAUUGACGGGUUAAGAGCUAGUUAAUUGGACGUUACCCACAGAAGAAGCACCGGCUAACUCCGUGCCAGCAGCCGCGGUAAUACGGAGGGUGCAAGCGUUAAUCGGAAUUACUGGGCGUAAAGAGUGCGUAGGUGGUUGAAUAAGUUAUCUGUGAAAUCCCUGGGCUUAACCUGGGCAGGUCAGAUGAUACUGUUUGACUCGAGUAUGGGAGAGGGUAGUGGAAUUUCCGGUGUAGCGGUGAAAUGCGUAGAGAUCGGAAGGAACACCAGUGGCGAAGGCGGCUACCUGGCCUAAUACUGACACUGAGGCACGAAAGCGUGGGGAGCAAACAGGAUUAGAUACCCCCGUAGUCC
RNAcentral lists this ribosomal RNA (449 nucleotides) under uncultured bacterium. RNAcentral's name for it is "bacterial SSU rRNA". It matches the Rfam family "Bacterial small subunit ribosomal RNA", at positions 355 to 796 of the family's 1533-position model. The record is from RNAcentral.